This 545-nucleotide ribosomal RNA is filed under the name uncultured Aneurinibacillus sp. Its description in RNAcentral is "bacterial SSU rRNA". It matches the Rfam family "Bacterial small subunit ribosomal RNA", at positions 355 to 898 of the family's 1533-position model. The record is from RNAcentral. Lineage: Bacteria; Bacillati; Bacillota; Bacilli; Caryophanales; Paenibacillaceae.
UAGGGAAUCUUCCGCAAUGGACGAAAGUCUGACGGAGCAACGCCGCGUGAACGAUGAAGGUUUUCGGAUCGUAAAGUUCUGUUGUUAGGGAAGAACCGCCGGGAUGACCUCCCGGUCUGACGGUACCUAACGAGAAAGCCCCGGCUAACUACGUGCCAGCAGCCGCGGUAAUACGUAGGGGGCAAGCGUUGUCCGGAAUUAUUGGGCGUAAAGCGCGCGCAGGCGGCUUCUUAAGUCAGGUGUGAAAGCCCACGGCUCAACCGUGGAGGGCCACUUGAAACUGGGAGGCUUGAGUGCAGGAGAGGAGAGCGGAAUUCCACGUGUAGCGGUGAAAUGCGUAGAGAUGUGGAGGAACACCCGUGGCGAAGGCGGCUCUCUGGCCUGUAACUGACGCUGAGGCGCGAAAGCGUGGGGAGCGAACAGGAUUAGAUACCCUGGUAGUCCACGCCGUAAACGUUGAGUGCUAGGUGUUGGGGACUCCAAUCCUCAGUGCCGCAGCUAACGCAAUAAGCACUCCGCCUGGGGAGUACGGCCGCAAGGCUGAA